GGGGAACUGAAACAUCUAAGUACCCCGAGGAAAAGAAAUCAACCGAGAUUCCCCCAGUAGCGGCGAGCGAACGGGGAGCAGCCCAGAGUCUGAAUCAGCUUGUGUGUUAGUGGAACGGUCUGGAAAGUCCGACGGUACAGGGUGAUAGUCCCGUACACCAAAAUGCACAGGCUGUGAACUCGAAGAGUAGGGCGGGACACGUGGUAUCCUGUCUGAAUAUGGGGGGACCAUCCUCCAAGGCUAAAUACUCCUGACUGACCGAUAGUGAACCAGUACCGUGAGGGAAAGGCGAAAAGAACCCGGCGAGGGGAGUGAAAA
This 318-nucleotide ribosomal RNA is filed under the name Klebsiella pneumoniae. RNAcentral describes it as "bacterial LSU rRNA". It matches the Rfam family "Bacterial large subunit ribosomal RNA", at positions 187 to 543 of the family's 2925-position model. The record is from RNAcentral. Lineage: Bacteria; Pseudomonadati; Pseudomonadota; Gammaproteobacteria; Enterobacterales; Enterobacteriaceae.